AUAAUGUUUCCGUAAACCUGACCCACCCAAGUCGAGUACUUGGUCUUUUUUUUUGCUGGCCAAUUUAGUACUUGGUCGUAAAGACCGUUUACGUGUUGAAAAAAAAGAACAGAAAGGAAAGAAAAAUAAAAAAAAAGGACAGGUCUAAAACGGUCUCUUUACCGAGGAAAGAUGAUAUGAAGACAAAUCGUUUCCCAUGGUGAAAAUCAAAGGUAGUCGACUAUUGCCUGAGUAAAUAACAACUCAGAAACUCGAAAUCAAAAGAUCGUAACAUGCAGAUGAAUGUGUUCUUAGAUCUGAAAUAUUAUGAAAGGGAACAGACGAUUACCAUGCAAUCAUUUUACGUCGGGGAUUCUGCAUAAAUCUGAAGAAACCUGGUUUAUACUAUGGAAACCACGAGCAAGAACAAUUGUGGUUCUGUGACUUUUGAAUAUUGGAUCUCAAAACUUGGAGUGAACAUUCAGUUUAUGCCCAAUACAUAACAGUUAGCAUAACCGGUCGAUGUUCACACAACCAACAUAAAAAAAGGUAAGA
This is a long non-coding RNA of Brassica napus (rape), 534 nucleotides long. RefSeq lists it as uncharacterized. Lineage: Eukaryota; Viridiplantae; Streptophyta; Magnoliopsida; Brassicales; Brassicaceae. The transcript has 4 exons. The record is from RefSeq and is a predicted model, not a curated record.